CGACGCCGCGUGGGGGAUGAAGGCCUUCGGGUUGUAAACCUCUUUCACCAGGAGCGAAUCCAGACGGUACCUGGGGAAGAAGCGCCGGCUAACUACGUGC
Molecule: ribosomal RNA, 100 nt
Filed under: uncultured bacterium
Lineage: Bacteria
Description: partial 16S ribosomal RNA
Rfam family: Bacterial small subunit ribosomal RNA
Source: RNAcentral